AAAAAAUAAGGUUGUUACACGAAUGUCAAUUUUGGGGUAAAUAAUGGGAGCUUGCCUUCAAAGAUCAGAUUAAUAUAAAAGCAUUUUAGGGAAAAAGUAAAAAAACAAAGUCAACCGACCAACAACUACUGAGCAGAAAACAAAACAUAAUCAGAAAUUAACAAGAAUUGUUUGGUCUCAACAGAAUUAGAUCGAAGCAGUGGAGAGAAUGGCAAGAGCAGGAGGUAUAACAAACGCUGUCAAUGUAGGGAUAGCAGUGCAAGCCGAUUGGGAAAAUCGCGAAUUCAUCUCUCACAUUUCCCUCAAUGUUCGUCGUCUCUUCGAAUUCCUCCUCCAAUUUGAGGCUACUACCAAGAGUAAGUUGGCUUCGCUCAAUGAGAAGCUGGAUACGCUGGAGCGACGUCUGGAGGCCCUCGAAGUCCAAGUGGGUACUGCAACUGCUAACCCUUCUCUUCUUAGUACUUGAUAUUGAGGUGUUAUUUGUAGUGAUUCUGCUUCACUAUAAGUGCUCUGUCUUUUCUGUAUUUCUGCUUGUGAACUGAAUAUACUUCAUCUUGUAUUGUAUUCCUUUUAAAGGGUAAUAUAUAUGUCUU
Molecule: unclassified non-coding RNA, 593 nt
Filed under: Hevea brasiliensis (rubber tree)
Lineage: Eukaryota; Viridiplantae; Streptophyta; Magnoliopsida; Malpighiales; Euphorbiaceae
Source: RNAcentral